AACGAACGCUGGCGGCGUGUCUUAAGCAUGCAAGUCGUGCGGCAAGGGGUAGCAAUACCCCCUAGAGCGGCGGACUGGUGAGUAACGCGUGGGUGAUCUGCCCUUGGGUUGGGGAUAGCCAUUAGAAAUAGUGGGUAAUACCGAAUACGUUCGCCGGGCUGUGGCCUGGCGAGGAAAAGCGCUUCGGCGCUGGCCGAGGAUGAGCCCGCGUCCCAUUAGCUAGUUGGUGAGGUAACGGCCCACCAAGGCGAUGAUGGGUAGCCGGCCUGAGAGGGUGUACGGCAACACUGGGACUGAGAUACGGCCCAGACUCCUACGGGAGGCAGCAGCUAAGAAUAUUCCGCAAUGGACGAAAGUCUGACGGAGCGACGCCGCGUGGACGAUGAAGGCCGAAAGGUUAUAAAGUCCUUUUGUCGGGGAAGAAUAACCAUGGGAGGGAAUGCCCGUGGGAUGACAUGAACCGACGAAUAAGCCCCGGCUAACCACGUGCCAGCCGCCGCAGUAA
RNAcentral lists this ribosomal RNA (505 nucleotides) under uncultured bacterium. Its description in RNAcentral is "partial 16S ribosomal RNA". It matches the Rfam family "Bacterial small subunit ribosomal RNA", at positions 29 to 523 of the family's 1533-position model. The record is from RNAcentral.